Non-coding RNA from Gopherus flavomarginatus (Mexican gopher tortoise), 73 nucleotides. NCBI's taxonomy places the organism in Eukaryota, Metazoa, Chordata, Testudines, Testudinidae. The record is from the annotation of a RefSeq genome assembly.
GCCAAAGUAUCUUAGUAGGGUGAGCAUUAGACUGAAGAUCUAAAGGGCCCUGGUUCAAUCCCAGGCUUUGGCA